This 497-nucleotide ribosomal RNA is filed under the name uncultured bacterium. RNAcentral describes it as "partial 16S ribosomal RNA". It matches the Rfam family "Bacterial small subunit ribosomal RNA", at positions 28 to 507 of the family's 1533-position model. The record is from RNAcentral.
GAUGAACGCUGGCGGCGUGCCUAAUACAUGCAAGUCGAGCGAACAGAUGAGGAGCUUGCUCCUCUGACGUUAGCGGCGGACGGGUGAGUAACACGUGGAUAACCUACCUAUAAGACUGGGAUAACUUCGGGAAACCGGAGCUUAUACCGGAUAAUAUAUUGAACCGCAUGGUUCAAUAGUGAAAGACGGUUUUGCUGUCACUUAUAGAUGGAUCCGCGCCGCAUUAGCUAGUUGGUAAGGUAACGGCUUACCAAGGCAACGAUGCGUAGCCGACCUGAGAGGCUGGUCGGCCACACUGGAACUGAGACGCGGUCCAGACUCCUACGGGAGGCAGCAGUAGGGAAUCUUCCGCAGUGGGCGAGAGCCUGACGGAACAACGCCGCGUGAGUGAUGGAGGUCUUCGGAUCGUAAAACUCUGUUAUUAGGGAAGAACAAAUGUGUAAGUAACUAUGCACGUCUUGACGGUACCUAAUCAGAAAGCCACGGCUAACUACGUG